RNAcentral lists this ribosomal RNA (501 nucleotides) under Aspergillus versicolor. RNAcentral describes it as "eukaryotic LSU rRNA". The stretch from base 133 to 286 matches the Rfam family "5.8S ribosomal RNA". Lineage: Eukaryota; Fungi; Ascomycota; Eurotiomycetes; Eurotiales; Aspergillaceae. The record is from RNAcentral.
GCCCAACCUCCCCCCGUGACUACCUAACACUGUUGCUUCGGCGGGGAGCCCUCUCGGGGGCGAGCCGCCGGGGACUACUGAACUUCAUGCCUGAGAGUGAUGCAGUCUGAGUCUGAAUAUAAAAUCAGUCAAAACUUUCAACAAUGGAUCUCUUGGUUCCGGCAUCGAUGAAGAACGCAGCGAACUGCGAUAAGUAAUGUGAAUUGCAGAAUUCAGUGAAUCAUCGAGUCUUUGAACGCACAUUGCGCCCCCUGGCAUUCCGGGGGGCAUGCCUGUCCGAGCGUCAUUGCUGCCCAUCAAGCCCGGCUUGUGUGUUGGGUCGUCGUCCCCCCCGGGGGACGGGCCCGAAAGGCAGCGGCGGCACCGUGUCCGGUCCUCGAGCGUAUGGGGCUUUGUCACCCGCUCGAUUAGGGCCGGCCGGGCGCCAGCCGACGUCUCCAACCAUUUUCUUCAGGUUGACCUCGGAUCAGGUAGGGAUACCCGCUGAACUUAAGCAUAUCA